Molecule: long non-coding RNA, 1544 nt
Organism: Bombus huntii
Lineage: Eukaryota; Metazoa; Arthropoda; Insecta; Hymenoptera; Apidae
Exons: 2
Source: RefSeq, a predicted model, not a curated record
UGUAUGUAUAUAUAAUACAUAUGUAUAUCGCGAUAUAUAUGCGCGCUGCACUGAAUCACGUGGGAGAAUGUACUUAUUUGACGCAGAGUAGGUGUUUUUAUCGAUCUUUGAAACAUCCGCGUGGUGACUGUUUCGGAUCGAGCGAUCAGAUGGUCAAUUGAAUUUUGGUAUCAGUUUUCCAAUACAUCCUCUACCUUUGUCGCCUUAAUAAGUACAACUACCAUACCCAAUAGUCAAAAUGACGAACUAUGAAUUUAUUUUUACAAUUAUCAAAAACAUGUUUAUGACGUUUACUACUUGCAAUGAAAAUUGUACAAUUUUAAAAUGCACUAUCGAAGUUUAUCGAAGAUAAGUUAUUGAAAAAAGUGUUAAAUCCUGUAUCUCCUCGAUAAAAUAUAAUAACAUCGAUAGAUUAUACAUCAUAAAUAGCAAAUAUAUAAAUCAAACUAUAGAUUAGAUUGAAUAUAAAUCUCUAUCUGUAAGUAAUCAUCAUACAUGAUAAGUACAUUAUUUACAAUGUAAAAUAGCUUUUUUUUCUUAAAUCCUUAUGGCAAGUUCUAAUUUCUUUGACUUUAUUUCUCUUGAUUACAAAUUCUCGUGAAUCCUUACCAACUACGAUGGAAAGUUAAUUUAGAAAUGUAAUCUCCGUCAAAUGAAAAACAUUGUGAUGCAACUAUCUGGAUUAAACGUGGAGUUACAUUACAAGCUAUUGUUUAAGUGGGGAAAUAUGUUUUGUUGGGUACGAUACAACGUGACUCAACUAAACAUUCGCCGGUUGGCUACGAUAGCGACUGGUAUUCGAGGGUUAAGUUCAUAUAUCGAUUAAGCAAAAAUAUAGAUCGAUCAUCGAACGGAUAAAUCUUUCAAGAUAUACCGAUUCCAAUUCUUAAGUUUAAUCUAUAACGUAUUUAAUGAAGCAAAUAGAUCGACCGGUUUUGUUACCAUCACAGAAAUGUAAUGAAAGAGUGAGAGAAAAUUUAUUUGGCGGAUUAAUGAAUCGGUUUUUAAAGCACUUUUUCGAUCAAGUUGUUUAAACAAAUUAGUUGCUCAUUAUUGUUUGUAUACAGUGACAAAGUAAACUCAAUACGAAUUUUCCCCAAUGUUUUUAACUCAACGGCCCCAUAACAAGUGGAAUCGCUCGAUAACCAUGCUCAACAGACACCAUGCGGUAGUCUCUCUCUCUCCGAGUAUCGUCGUUUCCACUACCUCUCACCUCGUCUUUCAGCGACCGGAGUAUUGAUCCAACCUGGCAAUACUUAUACACUAUACACACGGUAGUGUGUAGUAUUGUAAAUGGCCACGGUUGCCUACGAAUCUCGAGAGGGACUUGUAAACGAUGUUGUCCGAACUUCCUUGUGUUUUUGGUCGUAUCCUGCACUCGUUGCGGUUAAAAUGCAUAAUGCAGGAAUUACGUGUUCAAUUGUCAAGCGUUGUUGCGUGAAAUACGUAUGAAGAGAGGAAUGAAGGAAAAGAGGAAAAGAGAAGCAUACAGUAAAGUCGAGCCAUGACCUACACAGAAACGAACCAUUUUAUAAAUUUAGAAA